Molecule: ribosomal RNA, 311 nt
Filed under: uncultured bacterium
Lineage: Bacteria
Description: bacterial SSU rRNA
Rfam family: Bacterial small subunit ribosomal RNA
Source: RNAcentral
GACGAACGCUGGCGGCAUGCCUAAUACAUACAAGUCGAACGGACGAGGAGGAGCUUGCUCCUCCAAGUUAGUGGCGGACGGGCGAGUAACGCGUGGGCAACCUGCCUCUCAGUGGGGAACAACAGUUGGAAACGACUGCUAAUACCGCAUAAUGUACCGAGAUCGCAUGGUUUUGGUACCAAAGGAUUUAUUCGCUGAGAGAUGGGCCCGCGUCCGAUUAGAUAGUUGGUGGGGUAACGGCCUACCAAGUCGACGAUCGGUAGCCGAACUGAGAGGUUGAUCGGCCGCAUUGGAACUGAGAUACGGUCCAG